Molecule: non-coding RNA, 73 nt
Organism: Podarcis lilfordi (Lilford's wall lizard)
Lineage: Eukaryota; Metazoa; Chordata; Lepidosauria; Squamata; Lacertidae
Source: the annotation of a GenBank genome assembly
UCCUGGAUAGCCCAGUCAGUAGAGCAUGGGACUCUUAAUCUCAAGGUUCUGGGUUCAAGCCCCACAUCGGGCA